AGUGAACGCUGGCGGUAGGCCUAACACAUGCAAGUCGAACGGCAGCACAGUAAGAGCUUGCUCUUACGGGUGGCGAGUGGCGGACGGGUGAGGAAUACAUCGGAAUCUACUUUUUCGUGGGGGAUAACGUAGGGAAACUUACGCUAAUACCGCAUACGACCUACGGGUGAAAGCAGGGGAUCUUCGGACCUUGCGCGAUUGAAUGAGCCGAUGUCGGAUUAGCUAGUUGGCGGGGUAAAGGCCCACCAAGGCGACGAUCCGUAGCUGGUCUGAGAGGAUGAUCAGCCACACUGGAACUGAGACACGGUCCAUACUCCUACGGGAGGCAGCAGUGGGGAAUAUUGGACAAUGGGCGCAAGCCUGGUCCAGCCAUACCGCGUGGGUGAAGAAGGCCUUCGGGUUGUAAAGCCCUUUUGUUGGGAAAGAAAAGCAGCAGGUUAAUACCCCGCUGUUCUGACGGUACCCAAAGAAUAAGCACCGGCUAACUUCGUG
Molecule: ribosomal RNA, 492 nt
Filed under: uncultured bacterium
Lineage: Bacteria
Description: partial 16S ribosomal RNA
Rfam family: Bacterial small subunit ribosomal RNA
Source: RNAcentral